RNAcentral lists this ribosomal RNA (492 nucleotides) under uncultured bacterium. Its description in RNAcentral is "partial 16S ribosomal RNA". It matches the Rfam family "Bacterial small subunit ribosomal RNA", at positions 29 to 507 of the family's 1533-position model. The record is from RNAcentral.
AGUGAACGCUGGCGGUAGGCCUAACACAUGCAAGUCGAACGGCAGCACAGUAAGAGCUUGCUCUUACGGGUGGCGAGUGGCGGACGGGUGAGGAAUACAUCGGAAUCUACUUUUUCGUGGGGGAUAACGUAGGGAAACUUACGCUAAUACCGCAUACGACCUACGGGUGAAAGCAGGGGAUCUUCGGACCUUGCGCGAUUGAAUGAGCCGAUGUCGGAUUAGCUAGUUGGCGGGGUAAAGGCCCACCAAGGCGACGAUCCUUAGCUGGUCUGAGAGGAUGGUCAGCCACACUGGAACUGAGGAACGGUCCAGACUCCUGCGGGAGGCAGCAGUGGGGAAUAUUGGACAAUGGGCGCAUGCCUGAUCCAGCCAUACCGCGUGGGUGAAGAAGGACUUCGGGUUGUAAAGCCCUUUUGUUGGGAAAGAAAAGCAGCAGGUUAAUACGCCGCUGUUCUGACGGUACCCAGAGAAGAAGCACCGGCUAACUUCGUG